This 301-nucleotide ribosomal RNA is filed under the name uncultured bacterium. RNAcentral describes it as "partial 16S ribosomal RNA". It matches the Rfam family "Bacterial small subunit ribosomal RNA", at positions 509 to 807 of the family's 1533-position model. The record is from RNAcentral.
CAGCAGCCGCGGUAAUACGAAGGGUGCAAGCGUUAAUCGGAAUUACUGGGCGUAAAGCGUGCGUAGGCGGUGAGUUAAGUCUGCUGUGAAAUCCCCGGGCUCAACCUGGGAAUGGCGGUGGAUACUGGCUCGCUAGAGUGUGUCAGAGGAUGGUGGAAUUCCCGGUGUAGCGGUGAUAUGCGUAGAGAUCUGGAGGAAUACCGGUGGCGAAGGCGGCCCCCCGGACAAAGACUGACGCUCAGGUGCGAAAGCGUGGGGAGCAAACAGGAUUAGAUACCCCUGUAGUCCCUGUCUCUUAUAC